CACACCACUGGUCAAGAGGAUAUCAGAAGCAAGAGAAAGUGCAAAUCUGCUCACUAAAAAGUCUCACCCUGCCUGCAGAAAGCCCGAGCCGUCGGCAAACCUCUUCAACGUCUACGGGAAGAGCCCCCUGAUCGUCUACUUCAUCCACCGCUACCUCACCCUGCCGCAGGCCGGCCAGGACGUGUUCGUAGUGAGGAGGGAAAAUACCACGGUCAUCCCAUAUCCUUAUGGCUGUAGGCAGGGCACAGGUUGCUCCAGGCAACC
RNAcentral lists this long non-coding RNA (264 nucleotides) under Ictidomys tridecemlineatus (thirteen-lined ground squirrel). Its description in RNAcentral is "lncRNA (ENSSTOG00000031919.1)". Lineage: Eukaryota; Metazoa; Chordata; Mammalia; Rodentia; Sciuridae. The record is from RNAcentral.